RNAcentral lists this ribosomal RNA (497 nucleotides) under uncultured bacterium. RNAcentral describes it as "partial 16S ribosomal RNA". It matches the Rfam family "Bacterial small subunit ribosomal RNA", at positions 28 to 507 of the family's 1533-position model. The record is from RNAcentral.
GAUGAACGCUGGCGGCGUGCCUAAUACAUGCAAGUCGAGCGAACGGACGAGAAGCUUUCUUCUCUGAUGUUAGCGGCGGACGGGUGAGUAACACGUGGAUAACCUACCUAUAAGACUGGGAUAACUUCGGGAAACCGGAGCUAAUACCGGAUAAUAUUUUGAACCGCAUGGUUCAAAAGUAAAAGACGGUCUUGCUGUCACUUAUAGAUGGAUCCGCGCUGCAUUAGCUAGUUGGUAAGGUAACGGCUUACCAAGGCAACGAUGCAUAGCCGACCUGAGAGGGUGAUCGGCCACACUGGAACUGAGACACGGUCCAGACUCCUACGGGAGGCAGCAGUAGGGAAUCUUCCGCAAUGGGCGAAAGCCUGACGGAGCAACGCCGCGUGAGUGAUGAAGGUCUUCGGAUCGUAAAACUCUGUUAUUAGGGAAGAACAUAUGUGUAAGUAACUGUGCACAUCUUGACGGUACCUAAUCAGAAAGCCACGGCUAACUACGUG